This 27-nucleotide non-coding RNA is filed under the name Mus musculus (house mouse). Lineage: Eukaryota; Metazoa; Chordata; Mammalia; Rodentia; Muridae. The record is from RNAcentral.
UCCUGACAGAUGAUCACCUGGUGCGAG